AAGGGCACCACAAGAACGCGUGGAGCAUGUGGCUUAAUUUGACCCAACGCGGGGAAACUUACCGGGUCCGGACACACUGAGGAUUGACAGGCGCCUGUAGCGUUACUUUUAUUACUUCGGUAGUAGAAGUUAAUGUUACUAUAAAUAUGCUAGUCCUUUCAUGAUUGUGUGAUAGGUGGUGCAUGGCCGUUCUUAGUUCGUGGAGUGAUCUGUCUGCUUAAUUGCGUUUCAGAAAAUAGGUUCUUUGAGGUUAUUGUUGUUUGAACAUUUGUGAUUACGUUUUCAACUUCGGUUGAUUAACGUUUCACAUUGUUUAUCAACAUCCCUUGAACCUUGAAGGCAACGAACGUGACCG
This 355-nucleotide ribosomal RNA is filed under the name uncultured soil foraminiferan. Its description in RNAcentral is "SSU rRNA". It matches the Rfam family "Eukaryotic small subunit ribosomal RNA", at positions 1160 to 1450 of the family's 1831-position model. Lineage: Eukaryota; Foraminifera. The record is from RNAcentral.